CUUGGUCAUUUAGAGGAAGUAAAAGUCGUAACAAGGUCUCCGUUGGUGAACCAGCGGAGGGAUCAUUACAGAGUGUAAAAACUCCAACCCUUUGCCAUCUCUACUGCCUGUUGCUUCGGCGGGCGGCCCCAGGGCGGGCUCGCGUCCGCCCGCCGAAGACCAACUACAGACUCUUCUAGCGUCCUUCUGAAGAAGCUAAAGAAAAAAGUCAAAACUUUCAACAACGGAUCUCUUGGUUCUGGCAUCGAUGAAGAACGCAGCGAAAUGCGAUAAGUAAUGUGAAUUGCAGAAUUCAGUGAAUCAUCGAAUCUUUGAACGCAUAUUGCGCCCGUUAGCAUUCUAGCGGGCAUGCCUGUUCGAGCGUCAUUUCAACCCUCAGACCACGUCUGGCGUUGGGGCCUCGUAGCUGCUACGAGCCCUGAAAAUCAGUGGCGGGCUCCGCUAUACUCCGAGCGCAGUAGUACCUCUCGCUCAGGGCGUGUAGCGGGGAACUAGCCUCUCCUAUUCAAAACAGUUGACCUCGGAUCAGGUAGGAAUACCCGCCGAACUUAAGCAUAUCAAUAAGCGGAGGA
Molecule: ribosomal RNA, 572 nt
Filed under: uncultured fungus
Lineage: Eukaryota; Fungi
Description: eukaryotic LSU rRNA
Rfam family: 5.8S ribosomal RNA (bases 213-366)
Source: RNAcentral